This 99-nucleotide transfer RNA is filed under the name Malassezia japonica. Its description in RNAcentral is "tRNA-Leu". It matches the Rfam family "tRNA". Rfam says of the family: Transfer RNA (tRNA) molecules are approximately 80 nucleotides in length. Their secondary structure includes four short double-helical elements and three loops (D, anti-codon, and T loops). Further hydrogen bonds mediate the characteristic L-shaped molecular structure. tRNAs have two regions of fundamental functional importance: the anti-codon, which is responsible for specific mRNA codon recognition, and the 3' end, to which the tRNAs corresponding amino acid is attached (by aminoacyl-tRNA synthetases). tRNAs cope with the degeneracy of the genetic code in two manners: having more than one tRNA (with a specific anti-codon) for a particular amino acid; and 'wobble' base-pairing, i.e. permitting non-standard base-pairing at the 3rd anti-codon position. The record is from RNAcentral. Lineage: Eukaryota; Fungi; Basidiomycota; Malasseziomycetes; Malasseziales; Malasseziaceae.
GGCAGGGUAGCAAAGUGGUCUAAUGCAGCGGCCUUAAGCAGCCGAGUGUUUUACGCUCGUGAGAUCCGCCAUUCGCGGGUUCGAACCCCGCCCUUGCCA